Molecule: ribosomal RNA, 751 nt
Filed under: uncultured bacterium
Lineage: Bacteria
Description: bacterial SSU rRNA
Rfam family: Bacterial small subunit ribosomal RNA
Source: RNAcentral
ACGCUAGCGGCAGGCCUAACACAUGCAAGUCGGACGGGAUUCAGGGAGUAGCUUGCUACGAACUGGUGAGAGUGGCGCACGGGUGCGUAACGCGUGAGCAACCUACCCAUAUCAGGGGGAUAGCCUCUCGAAAGAGAGAUUAACACCGCAUAACAUCAUUUACCGGCAUCGGUUAAUGAUCAAAUAUUUAUAGGAUAUGGAUGGGCUCGCGUGACAUUAGCUAGUUGGAGGGGUAACGGCCCACCAAGGCUACGAUGUCUAGGGGCUCUGAGAGGAGAAUCCCCCACACUGGUACUGAGACACGGACCAGACUCCUACGGGAGGCAGCAGUAAGGAAUAUUGGUCAAUGGAGGGAACUCUGGACCAGCCAUGCCGCGUGCAGGAUGACUGCCCUAUGGGUUGUAAACUGCUUUUGUCAGGGAAUAAACCUUUCUACGUGUAGGAAGCUGAAUGUACCUGAAGAAUAAGGAUCGGCUAACUCCGUGCCAGCAGCCGCGGUAAUACGGAGGAUCCAAGCGUUAUCCGGAUUUAUUGGGUUUAAAGGGUGCGUAGGCGGUCCUAUAAGUCAGUGGUGAAAGACGGCAGCUUAACUGUCGCAGUGCCUUUGAUACUGUAGGACUUGAAUCUAUUUGAAGUGGGCGGAAUAAGACAAGUAGCGGUGAAAUGCAUAGAUAUGUCUUAGAACUCCGAUUGCGAAGGCAGCUCACUAAGUUAGUAUUGACGCUGAUGCACGAAAGCGUGGGGAUCAAAC